Molecule: ribosomal RNA, 473 nt
Filed under: uncultured soil bacterium
Lineage: Bacteria
Description: bacterial SSU rRNA
Rfam family: Bacterial small subunit ribosomal RNA
Source: RNAcentral
AGGACGAACGCUGGCGGCGUGCUUAACACAUGCAAGUCGAGCGGUAAGGCCUUUCGGGGUACACGAGCGGCGAACGGGUGAGUAACACGUGGGUGAUCUGCCCUGCACUUCGGGAUAAGCCUGGGAAACUGGGUCUAAUACCGGAUAUGACCUCCUAUCGCAUGGUGGGUGGUGGAAAGAUUUAUCGGUGCAGGAUGGGCCCGCGGCCUAUCAGCUUGUUGGUGGGGUAAUGGCCUACCAAGGCGACGACGGGUAGCCGACCUGAGAGGGUGACGGCCACGACGUGGACUGAGACACGGCCCAGACUCCUACGGAGGCAGCAGUGGGAACAUUGCACAAUGGGCGAAAGCCUGAUGCAGCGACGCCGCGUGAGGAUGACGGCCGUUCGGGUUGUAACCGUCUUUCAGCGAGGCGAAGCGCAAGUGACGUACGUGAGAGAAGAAGCGACCGGACUAACGUACGUCGCCAGACAG